Molecule: non-coding RNA, 775 nt
Organism: Odocoileus virginianus texanus
Lineage: Eukaryota; Metazoa; Chordata; Mammalia; Artiodactyla; Cervidae
Source: RefSeq, a predicted model, not a curated record
GGAAGGAAAGUUAUGACCAACCUAGAUAGCAUAUUAAAAAGCAGAGACAUGGGUUUUCUCAGUGGGCGAGAGAGGGGCGGGUUGGGCGCUGCGGCUGCGGCCAUGGAGAAGCUGCGGCGGGUCCUGAGCGGCCAGGACGAUGAGGAGCAGGGCCUGACCGCGCAGGUCCUUGAUGCCUCGACGCUUAGUUUCAACACCAGGCUGAAGUGGUUUGCCAUAUGCUUCGUCAGCGGCAUCUUCUUCUCCAUCCUUGGAACUGGAUUGCUGUGGCUCCCUGGAGGCAUAAAGCUUUUUGCCGUGUUUUAUACCUUUGGAAAUAUUGCUGCAUUAGCCAGUACAUGCUUUUUAAUGGGACCUCUGAAACAACUGAAGAAAAUGUUUGAAACAACGAGAUUGCUUGCAACAAUUAUUAUGCUUCUGUGUUUCGUGCUCACCCUGUGCGCUGCUCUUUGGUGGCAUAAGAAGGGGCUGGCCGUAUUAUUCUGCAUAUUGCAGUUCCUGUUGAUGACCUGGUAUAGUCUGUCAUACAUCCCAUAUGCAAGGGAUGCAGUAAUUAAGUGCUGUUCUUCUCUCCUGAGCUGAAAGCUGUUUGCAAAGAAGGAAACUGUUUGAAAAGACCUUUUGAAAGUUGGUGUUCUGUUUUUGGUGCAGUGUCCUUUUCCUGAUACAGUGAUCACUCCAGAACAACUGCACUGACCAUCUAAGAUCGUUUUGUAUACUGAUAAAACUACAUACCCAUUAAACUGUUAAAUGCUUGUGGAAAAAAAAAAAAAAA